AUGUGGAAGUGGAACAGCAUAACAUCAACUAGCAGCUACCGUAAAGAGAAACUUCUCGAGUUCUUCAGAAGUUAUGAUACGACGCAAGACAUUCUUACUUUCCUCAGAUUAGUAGUAGCCAUCUGGAUAUGCUCGCACGCGGAGGAGUAUGAACAGCGUGUACCAGACCUCAGUGAACAUUACAGUCUGAAAGAUUGGUGCUUUGAGCACGUCACUCCAUCUCGUGAGUACACGGACCAUGUUAUGAUGACGGCCUUGGCCGAAGCGCUUGAGGUACCCCUUAGAGUGGAGCAACUCAAUGGAGGACCUGCUCACGAUAUCUACACUGCUCCUGGACCUGGAGUUCCCCUUGUGAGUGUGACCCUUCUGUACACGGGCAUUCACUACGACGUCCUCUACCCACGCGCUGCUCCUGCCGAGAGUUCAAGUUAA
This 432-nucleotide ribosomal RNA is filed under the name Triticum aestivum (bread wheat). RNAcentral's name for it is "partial small subunit ribosomal RNA". The record is from RNAcentral. Lineage: Eukaryota; Viridiplantae; Streptophyta; Magnoliopsida; Poales; Poaceae.